GUGGUAUAAACUCUUAAUGCAUUUGGCUGGUAACCAAAAGGGUGGAGGUUCAAAUCCACCC
RNAcentral lists this transfer RNA (61 nucleotides) under Loxodonta africana (African savanna elephant). It matches the Rfam family "tRNA", at positions 7 to 64 of the family's 71-position model. From Rfam's summary of the family: Transfer RNA (tRNA) molecules are approximately 80 nucleotides in length. The record is from Rfam by way of RNAcentral. Lineage: Eukaryota; Metazoa; Chordata; Mammalia; Proboscidea; Elephantidae.